CCUACGGGAGGCAGCAGUGGGGAAUUUUGGACAAUGGGCGCAAGCCUGAUCCAGCCAUGCCGCGUGUGGGAAGAAGGCCUUCGGGUUGUAAACCACUUUUGUCAGGGAAGAAACGGCCUUUACUAAUAUUAGGGGCUAAUGACGGUACCUGAAGAAUAAGCACCGGCUAACUACGUGCCAGCAGCCGCGGUAAUACGUAGGGUGCAAGCGUUAAUCGGAAUUACUGGGCGUAAAGCGUGCGCAGGCGGCUUUGCAAGACAGAUGUGAAAUCCCCGGGCUCAACCUGGGAACUGCAUUUGUGACUGCAUGGCUAGGGUACGGUAGAGGGGGAUGGAAUUCCGCGUGUAGCAGUGAAAUGCGUAGAUAUGCGGAGGAACACCGAUGGCGAAGGCAAUCCCCUGGACCUGUACUGACGCUCAUGCACGAAAGCGUGGGGAGCAAACAGGAUUAGAUACCCUGGUAGUCCACGCCCUAAACGAUGUCAACUGGUUGUUGGACGGUUUGCUGUUCAGUAACGAAGCUAACGCGUGAAGUUGCCGCCUGGGGAGUCGGCCGCAAGGUUGAAACGUUAAAGAGUAGUCGGCGNGNGAGAGCGACGACGACGACGACGGAGGGAGGAGG
Molecule: ribosomal RNA, 621 nt
Filed under: uncultured bacterium
Lineage: Bacteria
Description: bacterial SSU rRNA
Rfam family: Bacterial small subunit ribosomal RNA
Source: RNAcentral